Molecule: ribosomal RNA, 508 nt
Filed under: uncultured bacterium
Lineage: Bacteria
Description: partial 16S ribosomal RNA
Rfam family: Bacterial small subunit ribosomal RNA
Source: RNAcentral
GAUGAACGCUAGCUACAGGCUUAACACAUGCAAGUCGAGGGGAAACGAUAUUGGAAGCUUGCUUCCGAUAGGCGUCGACCGGCGCACGGGUGAGUAACGCGUAUCCAACCUGCCCAUCACUUGGGGAUAACCUUGCGAAAGUAAGACUAAUACCCAAUGAUAUCCGUCGAAGACAUCUGAAGUGGAUUAAAGAUUCAUCGGUGAUGGAUGGGGAUGCGUCUGAUUAGCUUGUUGGCGGGGUAACGGCCCACCAAGGCAACGAUCAGUAGGGGUUCUGAGAGGAAGGUCCCCCACAUUGGAACUGAGACACGGUCCAAACUCCUACGGGAGGCAGCAGUGAGGAAUAUUGGUCAAUGGACGAGAGUCUGAACCAGCCAAGUAGCGUGCAGGAUGACGGCCCUAUGGGUUGUAAACUGCUUUUAUAAGGGAAUAAAGUGGGAGUCGUGACUCCUUUUGCAUGUACCUUAUGAAUAAGGACCGGCUAAUUCCGUGCCAGCCGCCGCCGUAA